GAGGAAAGAGGGAGGAGGGAGGAACACAGGAAAGUCGAGCGAACAGACGAUGCUCUUGCUCCUCUGACGUUUGCGGCGGACGGGUGAGUCACACGUGGAUACUUCACCUAUAAGACUGGGAUCAUUUCGGGAAACCGGCUCAUAUACCGGAUAAUAUCUUGAACCGCAUUGUUCAUUAGUCAAAUCCGGUUUUGCUGUCUCUUAUCGAUGGUUCUGAGCCGCAUUAGCUAGUUGUUACGGUAACGGCUUAUCAAGGUUACGAUGCGUAGCCGACCUGAGAGGGUGAUCGGCCACACUGGAACUGAGACACGGUCCAGACUCCUACGGGAGGCAGCAGUAGGGAAUCUUCGGCAAUGGGCGAAAGCCUGACGGAGCAACGCCGCGUGAGUGAUGAAGGUCUUCGGAUCGUAAAACUCUGUUAUUAGGGAAGAACAAAUGUGUAAGUAACUAUGCACGUCUUGACGGUACCUAAUCAAAAAGCACCGGCUAACUACGUC
Molecule: ribosomal RNA, 497 nt
Filed under: uncultured bacterium
Lineage: Bacteria
Description: partial 16S ribosomal RNA
Rfam family: Bacterial small subunit ribosomal RNA
Source: RNAcentral